This 407-nucleotide ribosomal RNA is filed under the name Haemaphysalis juxtakochi. RNAcentral's name for it is "partial large subunit ribosomal RNA". Lineage: Eukaryota; Metazoa; Arthropoda; Arachnida; Ixodida; Ixodidae. The record is from RNAcentral.
GGUAUUUUGACUAUACAAAGGUAUUGUAAUAAGACUUUAAUUGAGUGCUAAAAGAAUGGACUUUCAAAAAAAUACUUUCUUGAAUUUAAUAAUUGAAUUUAUUUUUAUUUGUGAAGAAACAAUAAUUAACAUUAAGGACAAGAAGACCCUAAGAAUUUUUGAGUUUAACUAAAAAAACUUUUUUAGUUAAAUUCUUAAUUGGGGCGAUUAAAAAAUAUUUUUAACUUUUUUUAAAAAAAAAAUGACCCAUUAAUAAUGAUUAAUUGUAUUAAAUACUCUAGGGAUAACAGCGUAAUAAUUUUAGAUAGAUCGUAUAGAAAAAAUAGUUUGCGACCUCGAUGUUGGAUUAGGAUUUCUAUUUAAUGCAGAAGUUAAAAAUAGAAAGUUUGUUCAACUUUUAAAAUCCU